UUUUAUCGGAGAGUUUGAUCCUGGCUCAGGACGAACGCUGGCGGCGUGCCUAAUACAUGCAAGUCGAGCGGAUUG
RNAcentral lists this ribosomal RNA (75 nucleotides) under Rossellomorea aquimaris. RNAcentral describes it as "Bacillus aquimaris partial 16S ribosomal RNA". It matches the Rfam family "Bacterial small subunit ribosomal RNA", at positions 1 to 73 of the family's 1533-position model. The record is from RNAcentral. Lineage: Bacteria; Bacillati; Bacillota; Bacilli; Caryophanales; Bacillaceae.